This 253-nucleotide ribosomal RNA is filed under the name uncultured bacterium. RNAcentral's name for it is "partial 16S ribosomal RNA". It matches the Rfam family "Bacterial small subunit ribosomal RNA", at positions 524 to 776 of the family's 1533-position model. The record is from RNAcentral.
UACGAAGGGGGCUAGCGUUGCUCGGAAUCACUGGGCGUAAAGGGUGCGUAGGCGGGUCUUUAAGUCAGGGGUGAAAUCCUGGAGCUCAACUCCAGAACUGCCUUUGAUACUGAGGAUCUUGAGUUCGGGAGAGGUGAGUGGAACUGCGAGUGUAGAGGUGAAAUUCGUAGAUAUUGGGAAGAACACCGGUGGCGAAGGCGGCUCUCUGGACCGACACUGACGUUGAGGCGCGAAAGCGUGGGGAGCAAACAGG